CACUUGCCGGGGAUGUGAAGACAGCUUGGAAGGUAACCAGGACAACAAAAGAGGGCCUUUGGUUCACCAUAUACUGUAUAUACUAACUAGUUACUGGAGGGAAGCAUCCUCUUCCUCGCCGACUUCCUCUUCUUCUUUCUCCUCCUCCCCCUCUCGUCUCGUUCCCUGGAACUAGGGAACACGCUUGAUUCCCAAAUUUACCUCAACCAAAAGCGUUGUAGACUGGUUUUCUGCCUUCCAGGGGGGAGAAUCCUUGCACGAUGGAGAAUGGCAUGGGGUACGGAAGCGCGUCCUUCGACUCACCACCACUCUACGGAGGGAAGGCCCAGGGAUUUCUCUCUCAUCUUAACAGAAUGAAGCUCAAAAAAUGCUGGAUGGGGUCCCCGACUGGCUGAAGCGCCGUGCGUUUCUGAGCCCAAAGUUGCAGACCUCCAGUACUACUACUGACUGUCUGAGGUCAUUGGUACGAUGGCCACCCAAACGAGAACUCCCCGGUUCCAAUUUGAUUCGCUGGGGAUUUGGGAUUAUUACAAUAGCGCGAAAGCUUUCGGUAUAGGAUGUCCAAGAUAUUCUGCUUAAUAUUUCAGACGAGGGAAAACAGUCUACAAGGAAUGAAACUGCAAAAAGUUCGAGGGUAAUCCCCACUGUGGAUCACGAAAGUUUGUAACAAGCUCCACUAGCUUAUCAGUAAACUUUACUCAAAGGGCAAUUCCAAUGUUGCCAAAAAACGAAGUUGGAUUCGUGAAAUAAACCAAAGUGCAAUUCGACAAGAACGAGGUUGAAGAGAAAAGUCAGCUUCUUUGAUGAAGACCAAUCUCAAAUUUUCUCCAAUUCAACUCAAACAAGCCAAUAAGACCCUCCAACAAGUAAAUGGUACGAAUAUGGACAUGAAAUGUGGACAUGGAACAUCGAACCGAUUUGAAAGAGCCAGCAGAAAAUGAUUAUUAUUAUUAUUGUUAUUAUUACUAUUAUUUUAUCUUAUUUUUGGGUGUGGAGGGGAUUUCCUUACCUUUUAUCGCUAAUGGAAUCCUUUUAGAGCUAA
Tigriopus californicus is the source of this 1042-nucleotide long non-coding RNA. RefSeq lists it as uncharacterized. The transcript is spliced from 2 exons. The record is from RefSeq and is a predicted model, not a curated record. NCBI's taxonomy places the organism in Eukaryota, Metazoa, Arthropoda, Copepoda, Harpacticoida, Harpacticidae.